ACACAUAUUCAAAUAACAUUAGUACAUUUACAAGAGAACCAAAAAUAAAAUACAAAAUACUAUCCAACCAAGCACAAUGACGUACUUACAAAGACACAUACAAAUAUAGUCAUUAAAAUUUAAUAAGCUAAUGUCUAAAGUUAAAGAACUAAGAACAUGCACCUAGUUGCAAUUGAAAAAAAUAAUGUUACAUUUCGAUCGAAACCCUAAUCAGGCCCUCUCGGUGCGGUGGACGUCACAUGCAGUAUAUCGCCAUCGUCACGGUGCAUCGCGAUAGAAUGAUUGUGAGAGUUGCGUGUGUCGGAUCACACAGCAAGUAGUUGACGAUUGAAGCCGAGAUUGACGAUGGGGGAAUUGCGAGUUCGAAUUUUCUCGCCGAGGAAGAAACGAGUUUUUUCGAUCGUGUUCAUUCUGGAAAACCAUCAGGAAGGCGGUUUUUGACUCGAUGAGCUUUCGGCAACGAGAGUCCUUGUCCUCCGCAGAGGGGAUCGAUCUAAAUUUCAUAUGCAGGGUCGAGUUAACAUCGGCAUUCUUCUCCUCAAAAUGUCAGCUCGAGUUCCCAAUUGUCAACAUGCGAAGACAGAUAAUUAUCCUGAAUGUGGCAAACGUGAAGUGAAGCCGUAAACCUUUCCUCCCGCUCUCGACUUUGGAGAGUGUAGGACUGCGUGGUAACUGAUUCUCUUGAUCCUGUACAGAGGUGAUGCCAAACGGUCGCCCUAAUCUGCUUUUAAAGCUGAGACUGCACAAAUAAUGCUGGUCUUUCACAUUCACAUCCGCGACCAACCAUGAUUACGAGCGUAUUCAAGAUUCCUAAAAGCGGUGGGAUUCUUAACGCGUGCAGACAUUGAGAAGUACUGGAGCUAAUCCUGCGCUCCUCUUGCUGAGGUUCUUUACAAGUUGUAGUCAAAAUGCCGCCAAGCCUGAAGGCGAAGCUGGUUGGCACUCCGGCACGACGAAAUUCUUCUCAAGGACUAAGCAGCGGUGAACGGAAACCUUUGCAUAAUGACAAUGAUUCCACAACUAUAAACGAGGAGGCGGACGGAAUAGAGGAUGAGAGGGUGAAACAGUGGAACGGGGCGUCUUCAUGGCAUCAAAACAUAGCAAUCCGUCGACGUUUCUUACUGCAGCACGCAGUUGCUCUCCACUCCUACGGCAGCUCAUCAUCUCGAACAGAACACUUGAUUGAUAAAGCUGCUCCUCGGCUGGAAGUCGACGCCAGCAUUGCAGUGUUUCCCUCGUUGAUUCUCCUAUCCUUUCCCGGAAUAGGCGGCCUCAACGAGCGCAGGGAUACAAGCAGCAUGAAAGUGAGAAAGGAUUGACACAAGAAUGAUCGAAUGGACUUUGGUUGGGGGUUUGGACUUCCUCACUUCACCUUCUGGAUGCAAUGGCUACUGUUCACCUUCAAUGGAAGAUUGCAGUUGCCAUGCUAGCGUACAGGCUUUUGUGUAAUGUCCCAGUCAAGGAUUCUUUAUGUAUCAGCAGUUUCCAAGUUUAUUUAAUAAGUGCCUGGCCUCAUUCUUGCUCUGAGAAUGCGUAAAUUAUUUCCAGUUCUAAUCUUCUCGACAUAGUUGAGGCCAUUGUGAACCUCGUAACUUAACGAUCAAUGACAAUAUGAUUGUGGGGGAGUUGCGGGUUGCAUCUUUGACGUAGUAAUGAUCGUUAAGCUACAGGCUUGUUGCAUGGGCCAGAAGCAUCAGUGCGGAAGGUAUAGUGGUCAGCUGUGCGUGAUGCGUUCAAUUCAAAGCUAGCCUUUGGUAUCUUUGAAUGUGUACCUCAACUUCAAGUUUGAGCAGUAUUCGGACGUCUUCAAUGCUCUGCUGUCCCAAAACAACUUUUCGAUGAGUUGUCCUUGAAAAUUUUAUCAUCCGGCGCAGGAAAGAGAUACACAUGUUGACAGUGGCGAGUGACCUAGAUGUGGGCAAACUUGGGCAUGUUGAUGAGCUCACAAAUCAAGUUGGCAGAUCCGGAACGACCUUUGCGUUUUCAUAUUGGCGCCUCAAAAAAAUUAUAAAUUCACCACCUGUGUUUGAUAAGUGGUGUCGUCUAUUUGGAUAUGCGGUAUCAGCUGCUACAUCUGCACCUUUGUUUUUCGAUGGUGGUCCCUGGGAUGCAUUUUUUUGUCUAAUUUUUGGAACAGCUGUGGGCAUACUUGACAUGAUUGCAUCUAUUAAUCCCAUGUUUGCAACUAUUAUGGGUUUUUCAUCGGCAUGCUUAGUCGCCUUUUUAUCAAAAUGCUUGAUUUCGAACCUGAAAGGCCUUGGCUUGUGUUACAUCGCAUUAACACUUGGAUCACUUACCCAACUUCUUCCAAGUAUCAACCCAAUACAUUUCAUUUUAAUUUUAUUUAAAGUAACCCUUCACCUCCAGCUGCCAUGCAUGACCUCUCUGAAGUUAGUGUCUUUUUCAUGUACAAAUAAGUUUGUCGUUAGCUUCGGUUUUGGACCAGGUAUGUAUUUCACAUUGAAAUGAUUUCGAAGUCGCACGUGAGGGGCUCGGCUGAGGUAUUGCGUGGUUUAUAUUCAUCAAUGCAGCUUGGGUUUGGGCUUGCAAUGGGAGAGAAUUUAGUCUGGUGGGCAACCGAGCAGAUGCCACACUCUUGUGGCCCUUCAACUCUACCAUUAUGGACAAAAUUCAUCUGUGAUUUACAAAAGAAAGUGGUGACGGAGUUCAGCUUGAACAGUUGAGUGCGUCUGUAAGUAUCCAAACAACAAACUUAUAUCACAGUCAACAACCUGUGGGAGACGGGUUCCUAGGUUAUGCGGUUGGGUCCAAUAUUCUCUUGAUGGCUCGCUUUGAGCAAUGGCCAGGCAUGACGCUUACUGCACUCGCAGGAUAUGUGGUGUCGUGCUUUACAGACCCUCGAUUUAGUUUGAGCACCUCUGCAACCAUUUCGGCCUUUGCUAUUGGCAUCACAGGGAACACGUACUCUUACUACACAGGGGAACUGCCCUUAGCGAUGAUCAUAUCUGGCAUUAACAUUCUUGUCCCUGGAGGCAUUGGAGUCCAAGCUUUUGCAAACAUGCUCAAAGAAAAUGGAACCUCUGGUUUUGGAUUUGUGUUUGAAAUGGUGGUUGCGGCUAUGUCUCUUACUAUUGGCCUUCUCUUCGCUAAAAUAGCAACGCCGAUUGCAAUGCAAACAGCCCGGCCUUUAAAUUUUCACUAGAUAAAUCUUCAUUCUCUCAUGGCUGAUUCAGAGCAGGUGGUCAUGGAAAGCUCCUAUUCCGGCUCCGACAUUGAGGAGUCCAUGGCUCUCUAAUUACCAGUUUGACACGCUAAAUUGCAUGACUGUUUAAGCCUUAAUUGCUCAGUUUUUACACUUCAUGAAUAUUUUAGUGGACGGGUACUAGUAAUAAUGGAAUCAAUUUGGAACAUUCAAUUUGAUCCGCUCCUAGAAGAGAGUAAGAGACAGUGGUAGUACUGCAGGCAUUAAGUUUGAGACUUCCUAGUAUGCAAGGGUAAAAUUUGAGUAAGCGAUAAACCGAGAAUCGUUAUCAACAUUCAUGGCCAUGUAUUCUAAUCUUGAAUGAAAUAGAGCUUAAAGAUUGGAUAAAA
This is a non-coding RNA of Physcomitrium patens, 3552 nucleotides long. Lineage: Eukaryota; Viridiplantae; Streptophyta; Bryopsida; Funariales; Funariaceae. The record is from RefSeq and is a predicted model, not a curated record.